This 253-nucleotide ribosomal RNA is filed under the name uncultured bacterium. RNAcentral describes it as "partial 16S ribosomal RNA". It matches the Rfam family "Bacterial small subunit ribosomal RNA", at positions 524 to 776 of the family's 1533-position model. The record is from RNAcentral.
CACGUAGGGUGCGAGCGUUGUCCGGAAUUAUUGGGCGUAAAGAGCUCGUAGGCGGUUUGUCGCGUCGACUGUGAAAACCCUAGGCUUAACCUCGGGCCUGCAGUCGAUACGGGCAGACUAGAGUUCGGUAGGGGAGACUGGAAUUCCUGGUGUAGCGGUGAAAUGCGCAGAUAUCAGGAGGAACACCGGUGGCGAAGGCGGGUCUCUGGGCCGAUACUGACGCUGAGGAGCGAAAGCGUGGGGAGCGAACAGG